CCUCUCUCUUAUAUCUUAUUCAAUCUUCAAUUUCUCGAUAAAAAUCUCUCAACCUAGAUCAAAGAAUGGAAUUUAGACAUAGCAUCAGAUACAAGAAAUUUGGGAAUUUUUGAAAAAUUAUUCAAAUUAGGAUCGAGUUCAUAUUGGAAAAUUUCGAAUGGAAUUUAUGAACAAAUAUGCGGAAAGAAGCUGAAGAAGUAGAUUGAAGAACACCGCGAUUGGGGAUGGCGAUACCUACCAAAAAUUUUCAGACGCCUCUAGGGCUUCUUUAGGCCACCGCAAUUGUUAGGGCUUCUUCAGCAGCCGCCAACUUUUCAUGCGCGAUUUGAAGAAGACGAAAGAAGCCGCCGCGAUUUCAAUGAAGGCCGCCGCGAUUUCAAGAAGACGAAGACAGCCGCAUUUUUUUCAGGAACAAACUUUGAAGUAUCGAGUGUUUUUUCUUACACAGAGGAGAAGAAAGAAUGGCUGAAACGGUGCAGUUGUGGGCUUUUUAAAUGGCCGCAAAAAAAUUAAUUCCACCUAGAUUAAAUGAGUCCAUGUGGAUUUGCCAUGGUGUAAGUCCGGCAAUCCAUGUAGGUUUCCGAUUCCCGGAAAAUUUUUGCAGGACACAGAUGAUAUUUUUGUGAUAGGUUGGGUACCGUUUUGAUAUUAUCGUUAGGGUGCGACAUUUUUGAGAAUUCGUUGAAACGAUGGAACAGAAAGUGACCUUUACCCAAAAUAGUAUUAUAAGGGAGUGACACGAAUUUUAAUAAAAAAAUGGUUAAGUAUGUUAUGAGUGGAGAAAGGGUCUCACUAUAAACGUAGAGUUAAUAAUUACUCCCUUCGUCUCUUUUCAUUUUGGUUCACUCCCCAAAACAUCUGCCGAACCUACUUUUGUCAUGAUUGAUAAGAUGCAUAAGUAUUUUUAUUCCUCAUGAGUAGAUAUCUCCAAUCCCAUUCUUUCAAUGGAAUAUGAAUCAAGCAAAACUAUAGCUUAAAUGAUAGAAAUAAUUAAUUUCAAUCUAGAUUAGUCUUACUAUUUUUAUUGAAUCAAAGCUAAUCCUUAAGAUGGGCAUUUACUUUGCAUGAUUAAUAAAAUGGAUGAUUGAGUAUUUUUAUCCUCAAGAGUAGAAUUACUCCAAUCCCACCAUUUCCAUGGGAUAAGAAUCAAACAAAACUAGCUUGAUUCAUCAAAGUAAAUAAGAGAUUACCCUUACUAUUUUUAUCUAUCAAAGUAAAUCCUCCCAAGUAAACGCCCGGCCCCUAAAAGUAAAUGUCCCUAAAUCUAUAUAUUGUCUCUUCGGGAACAUCCAAUUCAUGAGCAGUUUAACUAGUUUUGUGAAGUCUCACCAGAUUGUACACGAUUAAAUCGAACAUGAUAUUAUUCAUUUAUAUUUUCAAGGUUCUGCUUGAAGGGUUGUAUACUGAAAGCAAGACUUUAUGCUUGUAUACAUUGGUUCCUUUGUUCACUAUGAUUCUUCUAUCUAAAAUAUUGUUAUUGCAUAAUCCUAUUACAGUCCAAUUUAUCUCAUACUAUAGAUUAUAUGGUGUGUUGUAGAUCACAGAAGAUCAUAUAAUUGGAAAAAGUUGAGAUAUAAAUUGAGUUCACAAUCGAGGCAACUAUGGACGAGUUGCUGGUUUAGAUUGUUGCAUAAAUGGAUAAAUAAUUUGUCUUGGCUAUUUAUUUAUGCUAGUACCUUCGUGUAUUGAACAUGAUCACAGUGAGAUGAAUUCUUAUAUUCUGACUAAUUAAGAAUCAAGAUCUCAGCGACUUAAAUAGUCUUAACCUUAGUUGGAUUAAUCGGUGUAAGUAAUACAUUGACUAUUGCUUUGAUUUAUCAUGGGUGAGAGUUCUCUUGAAACUCAAUAUAUUCGAUAUUUUGGGUGAUAGCAAUUAUUAUUUGACAUGCGAUUAUAUCACAAUAAGGAUCCGUAUCCUGUUAAUAACAGGAUGAUAAUAUCCUCUUGGGAAACUUAAUAAGUUUAUCGUAUUAAACCCUGCAGGUGGAAUUAGUUCCGAUACGAUAAUAAGUUUAAGUGGUAGCACUCAAGAUGUCGUUUAUAAUUAAAUGACUAAUUAAUUAAUUAAUUGAUCGUCAGAGGAAUUAAUUAAUUAAUGGAUAUUGGAUAUCUUAAACACGGGGAUUAAUUAAGUCUAAUGCUAGCCCUGACUCACCUAAAGAGUAAAGAGGUAAAUCAGUAUUAAUUUUCUAGUGGAAUAAAUUAAUACUUGUGUCUCAAUUUUAUUCUGGGCUGAAUAAGAAAAUCGAGCACUGGGAGGCCAAACUUUAUUCAAGCUAGUAGAUCCCCGCUUGGCCCAAUAAAUGUUUAACUCCUUAAGUAAGCGUCCCAUCUCCUCUCUUAAGCUUGGGCUUAGUCUGUUUUAAUUAUGUUUUGGGCUUAUUAUUUAGGUAUGUCUAAUACCUAGUAUAAAUAAUAAGAGACAACCCAAAACCUAAUUAAUUAGACACACACGUGAAAGCAGAUUUUGAGAGUGAGGAGACGCCAACUUUGAGGGAGAGAACUUGAAGCACGUUGCCACCCAACGUCAAGCUCUACCGUGGGAACAAGUUGGAAGAUCAACACUAGAGUCUCUCAUCGCCGGAUUUGCAAGUAAGUUUCGAACUCUUGCAAUAGGCACUUGUGAUUUUUGUAUGUACUCGUUUGGCAUCCGGAAUGGGUCACGGGCAAAUGGAUCAUACGUCAAACUAUGGUUCCUACACUGCUACCCCACACAUUCAUUGAAAAAAAAAAUCCAAUAUCGAUCCUACCACCAAAACAUAUACUAAUAAUUAAUAUUUCUUUUACUUCUUAAAUAUUGUAAGGUUCGUCAAGCAAUGACUGUCCAACUUGGCAACUUGAUUAGGAAAUGCUACAUGUGAAAAGAGUACUUAAUAAUAAUUUAAAAUUAGCAUUCAUUAUUAAAAUUGGAGUUUAAAUAAAUUAUAUACCCUAUUUAUUGAUUUAUAUAUCUACUCCAAUAAAAUUGAAAUUAAAUGCAUGCUAAAAAUAUGAACUGACCGUAUUCGAUGCACAACUCUGUGUUUAAUCAAGCUUCGAAAUGUUUUUGGGCUUAAUAAAAUUUAAUGAAGCGCAAACAUUUCGAUUUAAAACCAUUGUAUGGUCAUGCAAGUUUUCAUACUAUUCAAAUCUAAGGAGAAAGAAAAAUACCUUUUUUUAUGAAUUUUCUUAUCUCUGCUUGUCUCGGUUUGAAUAAAAAUUGGUGAAGCAGAAGAUUUCCAAAAACCUUUUAAAUUUUCGAUAUAAAAACAUCAUGAACAUGUGAAUUUGAAAAUUAUUCUAAUCUACGGAGAAGGAAAAAAUUACCUUUUUUGUGAUUUCUCUUCUUAUCUUUGCUCGUCUCGAUGGACUUUCUGAUUGAAUCCUCCCAGCUUCUUCCCAAUAAAACCUUUGAUUUGAAUGGUAGAAUGUGAUAUCUUUCAAGUCAAAACAAAACCUGAAAUGAAU
RNAcentral lists this long non-coding RNA (3447 nucleotides) under Salvia miltiorrhiza (redroot sage). RNAcentral's name for it is "long non-coding RNA (SMIL_LNC001434)". Lineage: Eukaryota; Viridiplantae; Streptophyta; Magnoliopsida; Lamiales; Lamiaceae. The record is from RNAcentral.